Molecule: non-coding RNA, 801 nt
Organism: Heterocephalus glaber (naked mole-rat)
Lineage: Eukaryota; Metazoa; Chordata; Mammalia; Rodentia; Bathyergidae
Source: RefSeq, a predicted model, not a curated record
CAUUCCUGGCACGCUGGUCCAUUUCCAGACUAACCCAACACUGACCCUGAAGUAGUCUCCCCCUAUAAGGCUGCACCAGAUCUCUUCAUGCCUGCCUGGGACCCUGCCUUCCUGGCCCUCCUCAUCCCCAGCAAACACAUGUGCCUCUUCCUCUGGCAUCCAGGGAAAGAGCCAUCUUUCCAAGCAUGGGACAAGUGAACUGACACCAUGGAUCAGCAGACACAAAGACAGGGAGAGAGAACAAGGGAUCACUCAGCAGGCAGAGAAGCACCAGCCAAGUGCACCUGAUCGAGGCGGACACACCCAAGCUGUCCCACCCCUUCCCCACUUCAUCCACACAGACAAGGCUCUCAGGGCUGGAAGGAGUUGAUCUCAGGAGUCUGCUUAGGCUUGGAGGCUCACGUCUGGAACCCCAGGAGGACUCAACCCCUCCAAGCACUCCAAGUCUAGGAAGGUAGAAAGAGGUUUGUCAGCACAAUGAGACCCAGAUUCAAAUCUCUAGACUGCUUACAUCGAGCAAGUUGCUUUUACUCCAAAGCCUGGCUUCUCACCAAUAAAAUGGGAACACUAACAGGCUAACACUUCAAGGAUAGUUGUAAAAUUUGGUGUUACUUUUCCUUUCUACCCCUACUCCCCUCUAGACUCACAGAACUGGCAUUUGGCCAGAGGAUAUGAGAUCAAGUUUAGAUCAACAAAGACUGGAGAGAAAAGUCAUUUCAUUACAAUGAUAAAAGACUUCUGAGAGGAAAUCCAUUUUUGUGUGUGUGUUGUCUGAUUUUUCUUCAGCCCCCUAAAGGGGGU